Molecule: long non-coding RNA, 556 nt
Organism: Homo sapiens (human)
Lineage: Eukaryota; Metazoa; Chordata; Mammalia; Primates; Hominidae
Exons: 3
Source: RefSeq, a predicted model, not a curated record
ACCCAUAAUUGGAAUUCUUAGUGAGUCUUAUUUUUCUCCUAAGUUAAGACUGAGGCUGACCUAUUUAAUUGUCAUCUCCCUCUACAGGUGCUAUCUCCAACUUAGGAUAUGUUCUGAUGAUAUAAUUCUACUGACACAAAUAGCAUACUAAAUUGUGAAUAUUUUACUAAAGACCUUCACUGAGCAUUCCUAAUGAGUGCGGAUGCAUGAUGCAAAGAGCUGGCACUUCUCAUCAGUGGAGCACAGGAAAGAAGAUCUAUGAUGCUCAAUUAAAGCUCCAAUCAAGAUUAUGAUGUGAGAAAAAUGUCAGGGGAUUGUCAGUCCAACACGUGAUUGAAGGAGAUAGCUAGGGAAAUAUUUCUCGAUGCCACCGAAGACAGGAAGUGAUGGCAUUUCUCCACCUCAAGGAAAAUGGAUGUUCUAAAAGCACAAAGAACAUGACUCAUGUAGCACUUUGUGUCACUUUAACGAAGAUGCUUCCUUAGUAAUCAGAUGAACAGCCAACAUAGGUGCAAAUGGAUGUGCAAAUAUUCAUCUGAAUCAGGCAGAAGGUUAA